UACGGGGGGGGCAAGCGUUGUUCGGAAUUACUGGGCGUAAAGGGCUCGUAGGCGGCCAACUAAGUCAGACGUGAAAUCCCUCGGCUUAACCGGGGAACUGCGUCUGAUACUGGAUGGCUUGAGUUCGGGAGAGGGUAGCGGAAUUCACGGUGUAGCAGUGAAAUGCGUAGAUAUCGUGAGGAACACCAGAGGCGAAGGCGGCUACCUGGACAAUUGCUGACGCUCAGGCACGAAAGCGUGGGGAGCAAAAGGG
This 253-nucleotide ribosomal RNA is filed under the name uncultured bacterium. RNAcentral describes it as "partial 16S ribosomal RNA". It matches the Rfam family "Bacterial small subunit ribosomal RNA", at positions 524 to 776 of the family's 1533-position model. The record is from RNAcentral.